This 250-nucleotide ribosomal RNA is filed under the name uncultured bacterium. RNAcentral describes it as "partial 16S ribosomal RNA". It matches the Rfam family "Bacterial small subunit ribosomal RNA", at positions 803 to 1058 of the family's 1533-position model. The record is from RNAcentral.
UAAACGAUGAAUACUCGCGGUUGGUUCGUUAGAGUCAGCCGCCAAGCGAAAGCGUUAAGUAUUCCACCUGGGGAGUACGCCGGCAACGGUGAAACUCAAAGGAAUUGACGGGGGCCCGCACAAGCGGAGGAACAUGUGGUUUAAUUCGAUGAUACGCGAGGAACCUUACCCGGGCUUGAACUGCCAGUGACACAUGCAGAGACGCAUGUUUCUUCGGACACUGGUGGAGGUGCUGCAUGGCUGUCGUCAG